ACAAAGUUUUUUUAAUAAUCAUUUAUAUUUAUAAAAUAGUAUGCCUGACGUGUGUUGUGCCUUUGGAUGUACAAAUAGAAGAACAUUAGCUAAUGCUCAUUUGAGUUUUUAUCGAAUACCAGCUAAUAAAUCUGAAUCUUGUGCUAACAGAAGAGACAAAUGGGUUGCAGCAAUUAAAAGAGAAAAAUAAAACGUUUGAUUUCUCAAGACAUGAAAUUUUUAACUGAGUUUUGGUCCAUAAUAAUCCAUGUACAACAUGUUUUAAUAAAUAUAUUUUUAAAACGGAAGCAAGCACUAAAGAAGACAACAACGUUACAAAUUGAAGCAGAAAUUUAACAAAUCAUUUUGACGAUUGGAUAUGAAUCGCAGAAAAGCACCAUUAUUGAAUGUUUAUGAAUCAAAUCUUUGUAUUGUAAUUAGGGAUGCACCGAACGUUCGGCUGUUUUGCCGAACGUUCGGUUCGGCCGAACCUUGACAAAUGUUCGGCCGAACAUUUGCUAAAAAUGCUAAUUUGGAAAUUAAUAUCAUCAAAUCAUCAUAACUCAGCCUAAAUAGCUACAGUACCAACAGAUUUGGCUUUUUAUUGAAAACCCGAAACUUAUCUACAACGCAUAGUAG
This is a non-coding RNA of Hydra vulgaris (swiftwater hydra), 618 nucleotides long. The record is from RefSeq and is a predicted model, not a curated record. NCBI's taxonomy places the organism in Eukaryota, Metazoa, Cnidaria, Hydrozoa, Anthoathecata, Hydridae.